RNAcentral lists this ribosomal RNA (244 nucleotides) under uncultured bacterium. RNAcentral describes it as "partial 16S ribosomal RNA". It matches the Rfam family "Bacterial small subunit ribosomal RNA", at positions 116 to 354 of the family's 1533-position model. The record is from RNAcentral.
CGUGAGCAAUCUGCCUUCGGAGUGGGGAAGUAACGGUUGGGAAACAAGCCGCUAAUACCGCCAUGAUGCGUCUGGGAGGCAUCUCUCUGGACGCCAAAGAUUUAUCGCUCUGAGAUGAGCUCGCGUCUGAUUAGCUUGUUGGCGGGGUAAAGGCCCACCAAGGCGACGAUCAGUAGCCGGACUGAGAGGUUGGCCGGCCACAUUGGGACUGAGACACGGCCCAAACUCCUACGGGAGGCAGCAG